GACAGGGGGUGCAAACGUUGUUCGGAAUUACUGGGCGUAAAGCGCGUGUAGGCGGCUCGGCAAGUCGGGUGUGAAAGCCCUGGGCUUAACCUAGGAAGUGCACUCGAAACUGCCAAGCUUGAGUUCUGGGGAGGAAGGCGGAAUUCUCGGUGUAGAGGUGAAAUUCGUAGAUAUCGAGAGGAACACCGGUGGCGAAGGCGGCCUUCUGGACAGCAACUGACGCUGAGACGCGAAAGCGUGGGGAGCAAACAGG
RNAcentral lists this ribosomal RNA (253 nucleotides) under uncultured bacterium. RNAcentral's name for it is "partial 16S ribosomal RNA". It matches the Rfam family "Bacterial small subunit ribosomal RNA", at positions 524 to 776 of the family's 1533-position model. The record is from RNAcentral.